GGUCAAGCUACGAAGGGCUAAUGGAGGAUACCUAGGCACACAGAGGCGACGAAGGACGCGGUUACCGGCGAUACGCUCCGGGGAGUUGGAAGCAGGCAUAGAUCCGGAGAUUUCCGAAUGGGGCAACCCUAGAGACGGCCAUUUGAAUCCAUAGGAUGGCACGAGCGAACGCAGCGAACUGAAACAUCUAAGUAGCUGUAGGAAGAGAAAACAAACGUGAUUCCCGUAGUAGCGGCGAGCGAAGAGGGAAGAGCCUAAACCAUGGGUUUAUACCUGUGGGGUCGUGGGACAGCGAGAUGUAGGGAGGCGGCUAGACGAAGCAGAUGGGAUGCUGCACCAGAGGAGGUGAAAGUCCUGUAGUCGAAAGCCAAGCACCGCUAGCUGAAUCCCGAGUAGGCCGGAGCACGAGGAAUUCCGGUUGAAUCAGCGAGGACCACCUCGUAAGGCUAAAUACUCCUGUGUGACCGAUAGUGAACCAGUACCGCGAGGGAACGGUGAAAAGAACCCCGGAAGGGGAGUGAAAUAGAACAUGAAACCAUUAGCUUACAAGCAAUCGGAGCCCGAUUAAACGGGUGACGGUGUGCCUGUUGAAGAAUGAGCCGGCGACUUAUAGGCACGGGUAGGUUAAGACGGGAAUGUCGAAGCCAGAGCGAAAGCGAGUCUGAAGAGGGCGAAUAUCCGUGUUUAUAGACCCGAACCCAGGUGAUCUAACCAUGGGCAGGAUGAAGCUUGGGUAACACCAAGUGGAGGUCCGAACCGACCGAUGUUGAAAAAUCGGCGGAUGACCUGUGGUUAGCGGUGAAAUGCCAAUCGAACCUGGAGCUAGCUGGUUCUCCCCGAAAUGUGUUGAGGCGCAGCGGUAGGCGAUAAAGUUGGGGGGUAAAGCACUGUUUCGGUGCGGGCUGCGAGAGCGGUACCAAAUCGAGACAAACUCAGAAUACCCAGCGGAUAGCCUGCCAGUGAGACGGUGGGGGAUAAGCUUCAUCGUCAAGAGGGAAACAGCCCAGACCACCAGCUAAGGUCCCCAAAUCAUGGCUAAGUGAUAAAGGAGGUGGGAGUGCUAAGACAACCAGGAGGUUUGCCUAGAAGCAGCCAUCCUUGAAAGAGUGCGUAAUAGCUCACUGGUCAAGCGCUCCUGCGCCGAAAAUGAACGGGGCUAAGUCAUGUACCGAAGCUGUGGGAUAUGCAAAUAUCGGUAGGGGAGCGUUCUGUAGUAGGGAGAAGCAUUAGCGAAAGCAGAUGUGGACGAAGCAGAAGUGAGAAUGUCGGCUUGAGUAGCGCAAACAUUGGUGAGAAUCCAAUGCCCCGAAAUCCUAAGGGUUCCUCCGCAAGGCUCGUCCACGGAGGGUUAGUCGGGACCUAAGGCGAGGCGGAAACGCGUAGUCGAUGGCGAACCGGUCAAUAUUCCGGUACCGAUGAUGAAUUGUGCAGGGGGACGGAGAAGGCUAAGUCAGCCGCAAGUUGGUUAGCGGUUGAAGCGUACGAGGUGAUGAGGUGCGGCGAAAACGCACUGAGCUGAGGCGCGAGUACGACCUCCUACGGGAGGGAAGUGACUGAUGUCAGGCUUCCAAGAAAAGCCCUACCCACGUAAAUUCAUGAUUGCCCGUACUCUAAACCGACACAGGUAGGAUAGUUGAGAAUACUCAGGGGCGCGAGGUAACUCUCUCUAAGGAACUCGGCAAAAUGGCCCCGUAACUUCGGGAGAAGGGGUGCCAGCGAGAGCUGGUCGCAGUGAAGAGGCCCAGGCGACUGUUUACCAAAAACACAGGUCUCCGCUAAGUCGCAAGACGAUGUAUGGGGGCUGACGCCUGCCCAGUGCCGGAAGGUUAAGGAAGUUGGUUAGUUUUCGGAUGAAGCUAGCGACCGAAGCCCCGGUGAACGGCGGCCGUAACUAUAACGGUCCUAAGGUAGCGAAAUUCCUUGUCGGGUAAGUUCCGACCCGCACGAAAGGCGUAACGAUCUGGGCGCUGUCUCGGAGAGAGGCUCGGCGAAAUAGGAGUGUCUGUGAAGAUACGGACUACCUGCACCCGGACAGAAAGACCCUAUGAAGCUUUACUGUAGCCUGGUAUUGGGUUCGGGCUUUGACUGCGCAGGAUAGGUGGGAGACUAAGAGCAAGCCCUUGUGGGGGUUUGUGAGUCACUGGUGAGAUACCACUCUGUCAAGGCUAGAAUUCUAACUGAAAGCCGUUAUCCGGCUUUGGGACCGUAUCAGGUGGGCAGUUUGACUGGGGCGGUCGCCUCCUAAAUGGUAACGGAGGCGCGCAACGGUUCCCUCAGGCUGGUCGGAAAUCAGCCGAAGAGUGUAAAGGUAGAAGGGAGCUUGACUGCAAGACUGACAAGUCGAGCAGGGACGAAAGUCGGCCUUAGUGAUCCGACGGCACAGCGUGGAAUGGCCGUCGCUCAACGGAUAAAAGUUACUCUAGGGAUAACAGGCUGAUCUCCCCCAAGAGUUCACAUCGACGGGGAGGUUUGGCACCUCGAUGUCGGCUCAUCGCAACCUGGGGCGGUAGUACGUCCCAAGGGUUGGGCUGUUCGCCCAUUAAAGCGGUACGUGAGCUGGGUUCAGAACGUCGUGAGACAGUUCGGUCCAUAUCCGGUGCAGGCGUAGGAGCAUUGAGGGGAUUCCUCCUUAGUACGAGAGGACCGGGAGGAACGCACCGCUGGUGUACCUGUUAUCGUGCCAACGGUAAACGCAGGGUAGCCAUGUGCGGAGCGGAUAACCGCUGAAAGCAUCUAAGUGGGAAGCCCACCCCAAGAUGAGUGCUCCCAUGGCGUUAAGCCAGUAAGGUCACGGGAAGAACACCCGUUGAUAGGCGUUAGAUGGAAGUCCAGCAAUGGAUGUAGUCGAGACGUACUAACAGACCGAGGGCUUGUCCU
RNAcentral lists this ribosomal RNA (2877 nucleotides) under Vacuolonema iberomarrocanum LEGE 07170. Its description in RNAcentral is "filamentous cyanobacterium LEGE 07170 Bacterial large subunit ribosomal RNA". It matches the Rfam family "Bacterial large subunit ribosomal RNA". The record is from Rfam by way of RNAcentral. Lineage: Bacteria; Bacillati; Cyanobacteriota; Cyanophyceae; Oculatellales; Oculatellaceae.